AUAAUUACCUGGCAGGGGAGAUACCAUGAUCACGAAGGUGGUUUCCCCAGGGCGAGGCUCACCCAUUGCACUCCGGGUGUGCUGCAAUUUCCCCAAAUGUGGGAAAAUCGACUGCAUAAUUUGUGGAAGUGGGGGACUGCAUUCAUGCUCUCCCCUG
This is a small nuclear RNA of Suncus etruscus (white-toothed pygmy shrew), 157 nucleotides long. RefSeq annotates it as U1 spliceosomal RNA. The transcript has a single exon. The record is from RefSeq and is a predicted model, not a curated record. NCBI's taxonomy places the organism in Eukaryota, Metazoa, Chordata, Mammalia, Eulipotyphla, Soricidae.